GAGGGUAUAGCUCAGUGGUAGAGUGUGUGCUUAGCAUGCAUGAGUUCCUGGGUUCAAUCCCCAAUACCUCUA
RNAcentral lists this transfer RNA (72 nucleotides) under Camelus bactrianus (Bactrian camel). It matches the Rfam family "tRNA". From Rfam's summary of the family: Transfer RNA (tRNA) molecules are approximately 80 nucleotides in length. Their secondary structure includes four short double-helical elements and three loops (D, anti-codon, and T loops). The record is from Rfam by way of RNAcentral. RNAcentral also lists the same sequence under 2 other names. Lineage: Eukaryota; Metazoa; Chordata; Mammalia; Artiodactyla; Camelidae.